RNAcentral lists this ribosomal RNA (78 nucleotides) under Sinapis alba (white mustard). Its description in RNAcentral is "partial 25S ribosomal RNA". It matches the Rfam family "Eukaryotic large subunit ribosomal RNA", at positions 1 to 77 of the family's 3401-position model. Lineage: Eukaryota; Viridiplantae; Streptophyta; Magnoliopsida; Brassicales; Brassicaceae. The record is from RNAcentral.
GCGACCCCAGGUCAGGUGGGAUCACCCGCUGAGUUUAAGCAUAUCAAUAAGCGGAGGAAAAGAAACUAACAAGGAUUC